Molecule: ribosomal RNA, 295 nt
Filed under: uncultured bacterium
Lineage: Bacteria
Description: partial 16S ribosomal RNA
Rfam family: Bacterial small subunit ribosomal RNA
Source: RNAcentral
AUGCCUACGGGGGGCAGCAGUGAGGGAUAUUGGGCAAUGGGGAAAACCCUGACCCAGCGACGCCGCGUGAGGGAAGACGGUCUUCGGAUUGUAAACCUCUGUCUUUGGGGACGAAAAAGGACGGUACCCAAGGAGGAAGCUCCGGCUAACUACGUGCCAGCAGCCUCUUUAAUACUUAUGUAGCUAUCGUUGUCCGGAAUUACUGGGUGUAAAGGGAGCGUAGGCGUGAUUGCAAUUUGGAUGUGAAAACUGCGGGCUCAACCCGGAGCGUGCAUUCAAAACUGCGAUUCUUUAG